CACGUAGGGCGCAAGCGUUGUCCGGAAUUAUUGGGCGUAAAGAGCUCGUAGGUGGUUUGUUACGUCUGCUGUGAAAACCUAGGGCUUAACCCUGGGCUUGCAGUGGAUACGGGCAGACUAGAGGUAGGUAGGGGAGAAUGGAAUUCCUGGUGUAGCGGUGAAAUGCGCAGAUAUCAGGAGGAACACCGGUGGCGAAGGCGGUUCUCUGGGCCUUACCUGACGCUGAGGAGCGAAAGCGUGGGGAGUGAACAGG
This 253-nucleotide ribosomal RNA is filed under the name uncultured bacterium. RNAcentral describes it as "partial 16S ribosomal RNA". It matches the Rfam family "Bacterial small subunit ribosomal RNA", at positions 524 to 776 of the family's 1533-position model. The record is from RNAcentral.